ACGCUCGACACCUACGGGAGACAGCAGUGGGGAAUAUUGCACAAUGGGGGAAACCCUGAUGCAGCGACGCCGCGUGAGCGAAGAAGUAUUUCGGUAUGUAAAGCUCUAUCAGCAGGGAAGAAAGUGACGGUACCUGACUAAGAAGCCCCGGCUAACUACGUGCCAGCAGCCGCGGUAAUCUGAGCGGGCUGGCAAGGC
RNAcentral lists this ribosomal RNA (198 nucleotides) under uncultured bacterium. RNAcentral describes it as "partial 16S ribosomal RNA". It matches the Rfam family "Bacterial small subunit ribosomal RNA", at positions 328 to 539 of the family's 1533-position model. The record is from RNAcentral.